CCCAACAACAAUAUACGUACGUACAACAAGACCGACCCGCUCCACCCUCGCGUCUUCUUCCUCAACAGAAAUCGCAAGAGCCCAUACAAUAUACAUGCCCGAAGACUCUUCUCCAGCAUACGAUUAACAUCAAUAGCUACUCCAAAUGGCGCAACAGUACACCUGCGCAGCCGCGUCCCGUCCUCUUUUCCCCCUUUUGCGGAAGUCACAUUUUUUCCCCAUCUUUCACUGUUAGUCUUGGAAAAGAGAAAAGGAAAAUCCUAAUUUUCUCUUGAAAUUUUCCAACAGAUUUGCCCUAAAUCUUUCCCUAUAAAUACCCCUCUACACUCAGAAAUGAGGGACAAGAGUUGAGCUUGGCUUUAAAGCAAUUGUCACUUCUACACUUCAAAUUUUUAUAUCUAACUUUCUAAUUCUAUGUUUUGAGAAGAUCGACGCUAGAAUUUUCUUGGUUUACUGUUCAUAUUCGAAACUCGUGGUAGAAGAAUCACCCCUCUCAAGAUCGUUUGUCCCCGUCACUGCUCACCAAAAGGUCGAAUUUCUUUCGAGUCAGCCCCGUCAAUGUUCGAUGAUGCUGGAAGCUGAAACAGGCCCCGAACAGUCCAAAACUGGUUGUAUGCUCCCUGUAUACAUCAGUAUACACUAGUAUACACCAUGAAAAUAUUGAUAUACAGGUCAAAAUGCAACAAACAAUAGACAAAAACAAAGAUACAGGUUGGAGGCGUCAAGGUGGACUGUACACAGUCGAUAUAUGGGUCUAUAUACAAGAAGUGGUGCUAAUAUGCAAGCUGUAUAUACUGAUAUACGGCUUUUGUAUACAAAAAUGGGUUUUGAUUAAAACCCCAAAAGUAGCAGCAAAUUUGGCUAAGAAAGUCCAAGUUCAUCUUCUCCUUUAUUCCCUUAACUUACUUAAUUGUGAUUAUUUAUUGCUUUGUGUUUUUUGUUAACUCUAACUUUAAAUAACUUGAUUAAAUUCCCCAAAAGAUGAAUC
This is a long non-coding RNA of Solanum pennellii, 988 nucleotides long. RefSeq lists it as uncharacterized. Lineage: Eukaryota; Viridiplantae; Streptophyta; Magnoliopsida; Solanales; Solanaceae. The transcript is spliced from 2 exons. The record is from RefSeq and is a predicted model, not a curated record.